This 253-nucleotide ribosomal RNA is filed under the name uncultured bacterium. Its description in RNAcentral is "partial 16S ribosomal RNA". It matches the Rfam family "Bacterial small subunit ribosomal RNA", at positions 524 to 776 of the family's 1533-position model. The record is from RNAcentral.
UACGUAGGGGGCAAGCGUUGUCCGGAAUCAUUGGGCGUAAAGAGCGUGUAGGCGGCCCGAUAAGUCCGCUGUGAAAGUCCAGGGCUCAACCCUGGGAUGCCGGUGGAUACUGUCGGGCUCGAGUCCGGAAGAGGAGUGUGGAAUUCCUGGUGUAGCGGUGGAAUGCGCAGAUAUCAGGAGGAACACCAAUAGCGAAGGCAGCUCGCUGGGACGUUACUGACGCUGAGACGCGAAAGCGUGGGGAGCGAACAGG